GCAAAUACGUCAAGUUCUUUUCCAGUGCGGGGAUAUAUUUCUUUCGAGAUGUAGAAUCGGCAAAAUAGUCCAAUGGGUCAUGUUUACUAGGACUUUUAAGACUGAACUUGAUUCGAAUCGAUGCACGGUGCCAUCCAGCAUAUUCAGAAUACUGCUGCCCAACUCAUCGACAAUCAGCUGAAAAACAUCUCUUCAUCUUCCUUCCAUGGCUACCAAUCUUGGACCAAAUAAAAUACAAAUCUCUAGUC
This is a long non-coding RNA of Conger conger (European conger), 248 nucleotides long. RefSeq lists it as uncharacterized. The record is from RefSeq and is a predicted model, not a curated record. Lineage: Eukaryota; Metazoa; Chordata; Actinopteri; Anguilliformes; Congridae. The transcript is spliced from 2 exons.